GAUGAAGAACGCAGCGAAAUGCGAUAAGUAGUGUGAAUUGCAGAAUUCAGUAAAUCAUCGAAUCUUUGAACGCACAUUGCGCCCCUUGGUAUUCCAUGGGGCAUGCCUGUUCGAGCGUCAUUUGUACCUUCAAGCUUUGCUUGGUGUUGGGUGUUUGUCUCGCCUUUGCGUGUAGACUCGCCUUAAAAUAAUUGGCAGCCGGCGUAUUGAUUUCGGAGCGCAGUACAUCUCGCGCUUUGCACUCAUAACGACAGCGUCCAAAAGUACAUUUUACACUCUUGACCUCGGAUCAGGUAGGGAUACCCGCUGAACUUAAGCAUAUCAAUAAGCGGAGGA
This 336-nucleotide unclassified non-coding RNA is filed under the name soil metagenome. RNAcentral's name for it is "partial contains 5.8S ribosomal RNA, internal transcribed spacer 2, and large subunit ribosomal RNA". The stretch from base 1 to 120 matches the Rfam family "5.8S ribosomal RNA", at positions 35 to 154 of the family's 154-position model. The record is from RNAcentral.